GGAUUCAAAGCUCUAAUAAUCUUUUUCUAUUUAUAUCAUCUUUCCAAGAUAAAAACAUCCACGUAAGAUAGGUUUCUUCAGUUGGCAUCAUAGGUUUUUGUCUUAAUAUUAACUCCAUGGACAUAUAACUAGUGACAGUACUGUGAGUAGUUCUAUCAGCCCAUAAAGCAAAUGGAAGCAGUUUAGGCCAUUGAAUUGACUUAUCUUUACAUGCUUUAACCAAUGCAUAAAUGAUAGGAGGAUGAUCCCUCUCACUCUUUCCAUUGGCUUCAGG
Molecule: long non-coding RNA, 274 nt
Filed under: Physcomitrium patens
Lineage: Eukaryota; Viridiplantae; Streptophyta; Bryopsida; Funariales; Funariaceae
Description: long non-coding RNA (PPAT_LNC008026)
Source: RNAcentral